Molecule: ribosomal RNA, 469 nt
Filed under: uncultured bacterium
Lineage: Bacteria
Description: partial 16S ribosomal RNA
Rfam family: Bacterial small subunit ribosomal RNA
Source: RNAcentral
GACGAACGCUGGCGGCGUGCUUAACACAUGCAAGUCGAACGGAAAGGCCCUGCUUGCAGGGUGCUCGAGUGGCGAACGGGUGAGUAACACGUGGGUGAUCUGCCCCUUACUUUGGGAUAAGCCUGGGAAACUGGGUCUAAUACUGGAUAGGACCAUGCUGUAGGUGGUGUGGUGGAAAGAUUAGUUUCGGUAAGGGAUGAGCUCGCGGCCUAUCAGCUUGUUGGUGGGGUAAUGGCCUACCAAGGCGUCGACGGGUAGCCGGCCUGAGAGGGUGGACGGCCACAUUGGGACUGAGAUACGGCCCAGGCUCCUACGGGAGGCAGCAGUGGGGAAUAUUGCACAAUGGGCGCAAGCCUGAUGCAGCGACGCCGCGUGGGGGAUGACGGCCUUCGGGUUGUAAACUCCUUGCAGCCAUGACGAAGCCCUUGUGGUGACGGUAGUGGUAGAAGAAGCACCGGCUAACUACGUG